Molecule: long non-coding RNA, 1477 nt
Organism: Temnothorax curvispinosus
Lineage: Eukaryota; Metazoa; Arthropoda; Insecta; Hymenoptera; Formicidae
Exons: 2
Source: RefSeq, a predicted model, not a curated record
UUAUUUAUUAAGCAAUAUAAUAUAUAUAAUCUUCUGAAAUGACUCUUAUUUAAGUGUAAAUUGCUGCAAAUCUGUAUUGAUAGAUUAUUCAUAAUGUUGAAUGUAACAUUUUCGUUAUAUUUUUAUAAUAUUGGUUGUAGAGAUAAAUUUCUUCCAGUUUUUAGGUAAAAUCAAAAUUUUAUUUUAAAAAGACUAAAAAAGGCUCAAUUGUCCAAAUAUUCUCUAUUAUUAUCGAGAUGAUUUUAUACCAUUGUGAUAGGAACUUGACGGCUUUGAGGCGAUAGAAUAUCGAGACAUUUUCGGACAUUGUCAUCUGUCGUGAAAUAUGUAUUUGCCAAAUGACAUAAUGACUUAAACAAGUGGUAAUCUGAAGGACCCAUUGUUUGGCAAAUAAGCCACGUAAGAGAGAACUUCCAGCUCAAGAUGACACUUUUUGUCGUCUUUACUGCUUGUGAAGUCAUGGAGCAAAAUGACCUUACGAUUGCUCAUCAGUAAAUGGCAUUUCGACAAGUUGGUAGCGCUUAGCAAUUACUAUUUUUCCUGUAUUUAGUAACUCAUAACACAUAAUUUCUUUCAUGUCCCACUAGAUGCACAGUAAUAUCUUCUUGAUUGUUGAACUUAAGUCAAAAUCACCCUUCUCAAAUCAUUUAUUUUCAUUUCUACUCAAUUCUUUUACCAUAAGAAUAGCUUCAAUUACGACUUUUUUAAUAUUAAAUGCAAAAAAUACAACGAAUAUACUAUUUACUAAGUGUCGAUACAUCAUUGAAAUGUUCCUAAGGAACAAUACGAUCUAUAAUCUUCCGAAAUCUCUGAAUUAUUAUGAAUAUGGAGAAAUAAAUAGAGAAAUAACUGUGCCCGAUAAUAGUCUAUCAUAUAAUAGUUAUUGCUUGAUGGCACACCUCAAAAGGAUUAGUAAGAUGGUCAACAAGAGACGUGUCUUCUGCCUCACGAAGAACAACGCGAAGAUGUAAUAACAUUUUAUUUCAUUGUAUCACAUGGGAGCAGGUCAUAACAUCAGUAGAAUUGGAUAAUUGCCGAAAACAUAAUGCCACUAUUCUUCUAAUGUUGAACAGUAACAUCAAGUAGAAUAUGAUCACCUUUAAUAAGAAGACACAAAAGAGAAGACACAUCGGAUUUGAAUUCUUGGAUACAGAGUUUUGUUCCGGCAGGAUCGCAGAAUGGACGAAAAUGCGAUACUCGCGAGAUGAAGAGUGAGGCGCGCGUGCGCGCGAAAAAGGAUGAUGAGCCCAAAAGUGUCACAAACGUAAUACUUGCAGCUCCAUGAACUCCUCUAAAUUCGUUCAAAAAAGAGGAAAUUGUAAAGGAUGGUAAGGCUUCAAUCUCCACCGGACUGGGCUCGUAAUAAGAUUGGAUAAUUAUAACAUGGAAUCCUGAAGUAAUACACAAAGUUUCGAGGCUUCAGUAGUGCAGUCACUCGUUCGUUGUAAAAAAUUUAAAUAAAAUUAGAUUAAAUCAA